This is a long non-coding RNA of Solanum pennellii, 473 nucleotides long. RefSeq lists it as uncharacterized. The transcript is spliced from 4 exons. The record is from RefSeq and is a predicted model, not a curated record. Lineage: Eukaryota; Viridiplantae; Streptophyta; Magnoliopsida; Solanales; Solanaceae.
CUGUUCGUUCCAAUUGCCUAUUACUCUUUGUAAACAUAUUGUAAGUGUACCUGACAAUAGAGUACAGAAGCAUCCACGAGUUUAGUGCUUUUUAGGAUCAAUUGGAUAAAGUUGGUGAUGAAAAAAAAUCUCUGCGAGGAAAGAAAAUUUGGCCAAGGAAAAUCAGAUGUCAGGCACUGACCUAUUCAACAGCAAGAAACAGAACGUCUUCAGCUAGACUACACAUGUUGGGAGGAGGGGGAGGUCAAGUGAUGAUCUCACUGCAUAUGGACUCGUAUAAUUUGUCAGGCGGUUUCCAGAGUGUAGCUUCACUGGAUGAGGAUCAUCUUGUUCAGUAUUUGUUGAGAUGAUGUCCUAUUGAAAUUGGCCCAACCAGAGUGAAUUACACCUGACUUUUGAAUGGGGAACUUUGAGAGUUUGUUCGAUUUGCUUUUAGGUGCUAUCGUGGACACUUAGUUGAUGACAUUAAGAAG